CGGAGCGUAGCUCAGCCCGGUAGAGUACUUGCUUUGGGAGCAAGGUGUCGCAGGUUCAAAUCCUGUCGCUCCGACCA
RNAcentral lists this transfer RNA (77 nucleotides) under Pedosphaera sp. RNAcentral describes it as "tRNA-Pro". It matches the Rfam family "tRNA". From Rfam's summary of the family: Transfer RNA (tRNA) molecules are approximately 80 nucleotides in length. Their secondary structure includes four short double-helical elements and three loops (D, anti-codon, and T loops). The record is from RNAcentral. Lineage: Bacteria; Pseudomonadati; Verrucomicrobiota; Pedosphaerae; Pedosphaerales; Pedosphaeraceae.